Wasmannia auropunctata (little fire ant) is the source of this 185-nucleotide long non-coding RNA. RefSeq lists it as uncharacterized. The transcript is spliced from 3 exons. Lineage: Eukaryota; Metazoa; Arthropoda; Insecta; Hymenoptera; Formicidae. The record is from RefSeq and is a predicted model, not a curated record.
AUGGUUUUAACAGGGGCAGCUUUUCAUCAUAAAUAUUGGAAUUACAUGUACACUACAGCGAUGCCUGGUGACAUAAAGAAUGGGUCGAUGAGCACAUGAAUUGCGAGGACAUCGCAAUGAAUUUUCUGGUAGCGAAUAUUACUGGAAAAGCCCCGUUAAAGGUGACACCAAAGAAGAAAUUCCGA